This is an RNA transcript of Corythoichthys intestinalis (scribbled pipefish), 2461 nucleotides long. It is a transcript of the gene named unconventional SNARE in the ER 1 homolog (S. cerevisiae), with no coding region annotated. The record is from RefSeq and is a predicted model, not a curated record. Lineage: Eukaryota; Metazoa; Chordata; Actinopteri; Syngnathiformes; Syngnathidae. The transcript is spliced from 10 exons.
GUUUUUUAAUAAAUUGGGCCGCUUUUUAUGUGACGUCAUUUUCGCGCGACGCCCGCGUCGUCUUCUGUCAUGGCUUCAAGAUUGGAAAUCAACUUCGUCCGGUUAUUGUCCCGCUGUGAGUCAAUAGCUUCGGAAAAACGGGGUGAGACCGAAUGGAGGCUGGAGAAGUAUGUUGGUGCCUUGGAGGAGAUGCUGGUGGCUCUGAGGAAAAGCAUGAGCAAACCCACACCAGAAGUGCUGACAGAAUACACACGAAAGGUGGAUUUUCUGAAAGGCCUUCUAGAAGCAGAGAAGCUGUCGUCACCAACUGAAAAGGCGCUAGCCAAUCAGUUCCUCGCCCCUGGCCGAACACCCACAAUUGCCAACGAGAGGAUGGCUGCUACUAAAACUGUUCACAUACAGUCAAAAGCCCGAUGUACAGGGGAGAUGAGGGAUGAGCUGCUUGGCACGGGUUUUUCAAACAAAGAAACAGAUUUGCGAAACAGAAGAGGUCUUCCUCUUGACGAACGCCAGUCAGCCGCAGAGUUGGACGCCAUCUUGCAGCACCAACACAACCUGCAAGAGAAGAUCGCUGAAGAUAUGCUCAACCUGGCUAGGAACUUAAAAAACAACACACUGGCUGCCCAGAGCAUCAUCAAACAGGAUAAUCAGACCUUGGGCCAGUCGAUGCAUCAGGCCGACCUCAACUUUGAGAAGUUGAAGACUGAGUCGGAACGUUUGGAGCAACAUGCCAAGAAGUCUGUCAACUGGUUGCUGUGGCUCAUGCUCAUCUUGGUUUCCUUUACCUUUAUAAGUAUGAUCCUCUUCAUCAGACUCUUCCCUAGGCUCAGAUGAUGAAGUGUCCCCCACCCUCCAAAGACUUCAAAGUCUCCUGUAGAGCUGUAUGUGUGAUGCAAUGUGGUGGCAUCGCAGGCCAAACAAUCCCUUUAAGUGGACUUUUGAUCUAGCUUUUUAGUAUUGGUUGUUCUAAAACUAAUCCAUCAAAUGAACACUGUCAGGCCUCCCAGCUGAAAUGGAUUGGACCUCUAUUUCCAUCAAUGGCAGCCAGUGAAUUAUGAUUUGGUGGUUGUCACUGAAUGAGUGAAUGAGGAUUAUUACAUCCACCAGGAUGCUGGGAAAACCGGAAUACCCGGAGAAUACCCGCGCAGGCACAGGACGGCCGGAGCCCGGGAUUGAGACGUUGAUCUCAGAACUGUGAGGCGGACGUGCUAAGGCAAGUCAAGGCAAAUUUAUUUAUAUAGCACAUUUCAACACAAGGCAAUUCAAAGUGCUUUACAUCACAUGAAGAUCAUAAAAAUCCCAUUAAAUCAAUAGAACGUAAAAACAAAGACAAUAGAAACAGGAAAUAAAAUUAUACAUAAAAUCGCAUUUAAUCACAAAUAGAAUAAAAAAAAAUACUAAUAAUAAUUGAAAUCAGCAAUGGAGAUAAAGCACAAGAGGAAUAGAAAGCAAAUAGCUUGAAAUAUGUAGGCAGUUAUUGAUAUGCUGUGCUAAAUAAAAGCGUUUUUGGCCCUGAUUUAAAGGAGCUAACAGUUUGAGCAUACUUUAGACCAGAGGUGAGGUGCAUAAUAACUGCUGCCUCACUGUGCUUGGAGCUUGUUCUUGGAACAUGAAGGAGACCGCACUGCCACCGUGCCACUUUUUUCUUAAAGGGGAACUUUGAAAUAAGGGUGGCCAACCAUGUUUUUGAAUAAUAUCAAUGGCUAAACAAUUAUAAGCAUAUUUUCUUUUUUUUUUUUUUUUUUUACGCAACCCUUCCAGAUUCUUUGUUUAACCCAUAGCAACGCCCUUGACAACGAAAAUGCUUUUCUUCGGCAAUCUUCGGAAAUUACGUCACACCUAGACAUGCGAGGGAAGUCCACCAUAGAACAGUAUUGUUUGUUGCAUUGCUUCUCGGUAUGAUGCCACAGCGGUGUGUGGCGAUGUUUUGUUCUCGCUCAAACGAAAAGUUGUAUGAGUGGCCAAAGGAUAGCAGGGCACGUAAAUGGACAUCUUUCGUUCGCACGAAGCGAAUGAAUUUCACGCCAUCAUCGAGUAGUGUUCUCUGCUGCAAACACUUCGAAGAUGCCUGCUUCCUUAACCGGUCUGCUUAUGAUCAAGGAUUUGCCAAAAAAUUCAGUCUAUCCAGCCUGGUGCAGGUCUACAACUUUGUCUCUGGUGUCCUUCGACAGCUCUUUGGUCUUGGCCAUAGUGAAAUUUGGAGUGUGACUGACUGACUGACAUUGUGGACAGGUGUCUUUUAUACUGAUAAUGAGUUAAAACAUGUGCCAUUAUUACAGGUAACGAGUGGAGCCUCGUUAUACAUCGUUAGAAGAAGUUAGACCUCUUUGACAGCCAGAAAUCUUGCUUGUUUGUCGGUGACCAAAUAUUUGUUUUCCACUCUAAUUUGGAAAUAAAUUCUUUAAAAAUCAAACAAUUGGAUUUUCAGUUUUUUUUCCUACAUUCUGUCUCUCAUGGUUGA